GACGAACGCUGGCGGCGUGCUUAACACAUGCAAGUCGAACGGAAAGGCCCUGCUUUUGUGGGGUGCUCGAGUGGCGAACGGGUGAGAACACGUGAGUAACCUGCCCUUGACUUUGGGAUAACUUCAGGAAACUGGGGCUAAUACCGGAUAGGAGCUCCUGCUGCAUGGUGGGGGUUUGAAAGUUUCGGCGGUGGGGGAUGGACUCGCGGCUUAUCAGCUUGCUGGGGGGGUAGUGGCUUACCAAGGCUUUGACGGGUAGCCGACCUGAGAGGGUGACAGGCCACAUUGGGACUGAGAUACGGCCCAGACUCCUACGGGAGGCAGCAGUGGGGAAUAUUGCACAAUGGGCGGAAGCCUGAUGCAGCAACGCCGCGUGCGGGAUGACGGCCUUCGGGUUGUAAACCGCUUUCGCCUGUGACGAAGCGUGAGUGACGGUAAUGGGUAAAGAAGCACCGGAUAACUACGUG
This 467-nucleotide ribosomal RNA is filed under the name uncultured bacterium. RNAcentral describes it as "partial 16S ribosomal RNA". It matches the Rfam family "Bacterial small subunit ribosomal RNA", at positions 28 to 507 of the family's 1533-position model. The record is from RNAcentral.